Molecule: ribosomal RNA, 467 nt
Filed under: uncultured bacterium
Lineage: Bacteria
Description: partial 16S ribosomal RNA
Rfam family: Bacterial small subunit ribosomal RNA
Source: RNAcentral
GAUGAACGCUGGCGGCGUGCUUAACACAUGCAAGUCGAACGGAAAGGCCCAAGCUUGCUUGGGUACUCGAGUGGCGAACGGGUGAGUAACACGUGGGUGAUCUGCCCUGCACUUCGGGAUAAGCCUGGGAAACUGGGUCUAAUACCGGAUAGGACCACUUCUUGGAUGUUGUGGUGGAAAGUUUUUUCGGUGUGGGAUGAGCUCGCGGCCUAUCAGCUUGUUGGUGGGGUAAUGGCCUACCAAGGCGUCGACGGGUAGCCGGCCUGUGAGGGUGUACGGCCACAUUGGGACUGAGAUACGGCCCAGACGCCUACGGGAGGCAGCAGUGGGGAAUAUUGCACAAUGGGCGCAAGCCUGAUGCAGCGACGCCGCGUGGGGGAUGACGGCCUUCGGGUUGUAAACUCCUUUCGCUAGGGACGAAGCGUUUUGUGACGGUACCUGGAGAAGAAGCACCGGCUAACUACGUG